AAAUUACAGAAAUAGCUUAAAUUUUACUAUUUUUUUAAGUACAGCUUAUAUGAAAAAUAAAAUAAAAAAUAUAGGUUACUGAUGAGUUAAAAAAGAUAUCUCAAUUUAAAUGCAAAAAAAUGCCAUUUUUGCACCAAAGGGAGAUAAUUUGGAGAUUUUCAACAAUAUAAACAUUUUAAAAGUCAUCUGGGGCCAAAACAAAACAUUCUUUUUGGUUUAUUUUUGUACCAUAUCUUAAAGUUAUAACUAAUAGUGGAAUAAUAAAAUUUGUAAUAAAAAAAAAUGUUUAAAAUUAUGCUGAAAUGUUUGUACCCUCGAGCCUCCUUACUAUUUGGGAAAUGAAGAAAAUUUGUAGACUUUUUUAAGCAUGAUAUUUUGAUAUGAUACAUUUAGAGUGAUUUAUAUUUUUUUCCAGAAUAUUUUGAGCCUGUUUUUAAGCUUGAUGAUUGAAGUUUUUAAGGACUUUGACUGGCUAUACAGCCCUUGCAUGGUUGGUUUUAAAGCUUGAUAUUUGGGUAUGAUAGAAGGGGUAAUGAAUAUUUUUCCAGAUCAUUUUUAGCCUUUAAAAGCUUGUUAUUUGGUAUGAUACAAAGGUUAAUGAAUAUUUUUAUCCAAUAUAUUUUGGGUCUUUUUUAAAGCUUGAUAGUUUGGUAUGAUACAAGGUUAAUUGAUACUUUUUCAAGAAUAUUUUCGAGCUUUUUGAAGGUUGAGAUUUGAGUAUGGUAGAAGGAAUAAUGACUUUUUGUUUCCUGAAUAUUUUGUGCCAUUUUUUAAGCUUGUCCUUUGGAUAUGAUACAAGGGGUAAUGAAUAUUUUUUCCAGAAUAUUUUUGGCCUUUUUAAAAGCUUGAUAUUUUGAUAACUGGUUUAACACAAGGGCAAUAACAUUUCUUUUCCAGACUAUUUUGCUCAAUUUUAAAACCUUGAUUUUUUGUAAGUUCUGAAAAAGGUGCUGUUUUGAUGAAUAUGGAAUAUUAUAAAUGUAUCAAUAGCUUAAUGUAUCAGAUCUUUAUGUUGUUUAAUAAGGAUCUAUCAUUUAGCAUGUCUUUUGUUUUUUCCAUCCGAGACAAUUAUGGGUCACUGCAUAUCCUUCCACCAAUGAGCAAAACUUGUAUCACAUAGAUAGACAAUAAUCGUGUUUCAACUUGACAUAUCAACGAUAUAAAGAUGAGGCUUAGAAACCAGGAAAUGAGAGGUUCUGCCAAACUUUUUCCCUGUUUUGGGCCGAAUCCUUAUAUCAGUGAUAUGUCAGGUCAAGACACUACUAUUGUCUUUAUACUGCAAUCUAGAAAAAACAUUCUCAAUUGUUGUUUAUUGUGUUAUUGUUAUUUAUUUAUUUGAUUUAAAUAUUUGGAAAAAAUCCCCCUUUAAAAAGGCCUAUUAUGUGGCGGAGUAAUGUUAUACUGCAAUAAAAUGUGAUCUGUUGAAACC
RNAcentral lists this long non-coding RNA (1429 nucleotides) under Mytilus galloprovincialis (Mediterranean mussel). The record is from RNAcentral. Lineage: Eukaryota; Metazoa; Mollusca; Bivalvia; Mytilida; Mytilidae.